UUAGAAGAUCAAUUAUAUAUGUUGGGAUUUUCACAAAGACCAUGUGUAAAGUUACUAAAGUACCAUAGACUAUUUCUUCUUGCCCAUCCACCUUACAUCAGAGUCCAGCAUUGACCCAACCAACUCCAUGAGUCACUAGCCAGGCAUGCAACUUGACUACCGUCUGCUCAUCUCAGAUAAAAAUAUACAAGACUUCACAAGAUUAAACCCGACAAGUCAGGUACAUACAUGUAGAACGACCUACAUACUACAUAGAAGAGCAAUCUCAGCAUCAACCACAUCACAUGCCACCGUGCCACGGCAUACAUAAUAGAAGAAACUAGAGACUACACAGCAAGACAAUUUGAGCAUCAACUAGGCAUGUAUGUGCCUCGGCCAAAUAGAAGAGCUUCACUAGACCAACUAGCCAUGGCUGCAUCUCAGCAAAAUAGAAGAACUUCCCACGCCAACUAGCCAUGUCUGUGUCUCCGCAACCCGAAUUUAACUCUUAAUACCUGCAGAACAAUCAAGGUCAUCCCAGUCAAACAAAUUUAUAAUGCUCUCUCACAGCAGAACAAAUUUUGUAUGAUCCCCAAAAAUAAGCAUUAACUUUGCCGCAGUGCAGAUUAUACAAGAAAAUAUCCAAAGCUGAAUCGGCCCAGUACACAAGCUAAUACUACAAACAGAGAACAACAAUAAGGGAACAUUUAGUUUGUACUGCUACCUAUAUGCUUACAUGUUUUCAAGAUUCUUGCUACAUAACUACGUACAAUCACAGUAGAAACUAAGAGAUCGGUGACUCGCCGCCUAUCAUCUGGGGCAAAAAAACUGAAAUUCCAAGAUUGUCAAGUAAUUCCAGAUUUACUUUUGUGUGCGAAGCCAUGUGUAAGGCUCAGACAAAGGAGAAAUGGCUGGUAUCUCUACCCAAAGGCGUGCUUCUUGAAAAUGUAUCAAGGAUAGUAAAUGAAGCCAAAUAUACCGCUAGGUCCAAAAAAGAAUGGAAAUAUUGUUUACAUGUUCACAGAAAAUGCAUUUAUCCAGAAUUAUUGUCGAGUGAGUUUUGUGCCAGUUGUGACCAUAAGGCCAAAAUAAAAUAUGCACGGCUUGGAAAACCAGAGUUCCAUAACAAGUAUUACAUAGUACUACGUGAAAUUAAUGAACUAGUACUACUCUUCGAUAAAAAUUAGACCACAUGGUAUUAUGAAUUGACGAUUUCUAUGAAGAUCAAUCAAGUAAAAUUUUAAACUUGCAAGGAAAAAAAUAAUGAAUAAGAAAACAUAACAAGCUUCAAGCCGCCUCCAGAUGUUCCGAUUUCUCAAAUACUUCAGAUGGUUUCACUACUGCAGCUAUUGCCACUUCCCAAUUUUUGGUACACCUCUGAUAAAAAGAUCAUUACAAGCACACAGUUGUAUUUAGCCUUUAGCAAUGGCCAGGCAUCAAAGCAAUAUUUGUAUUCCUGCUCUAGAUUUAAUGGAGCUCUAUAAUAACAAGAAAUUAGAUAACCAUAAGAUGACCAGAUCAACAGAGGAACAAAUAAGACAACAUAUUUUUAUGUAUCUAGCUCAAUCCUAAUAAUAGGAACAAUGUUACCGCAAUAACGUACCAAAAGUAACUGGAACAAAUACGAGCCAAACAAACUAAAUGGACUUUUUUUGCUUGUGCAAUGUAGAUAGGGCGUGUUACCUGCAGUAUAGAAAUUCCUGUAGGGAUAAAAGGUGUCAAGACAUAUGUUGUUUCUUUUAACAAUAUGUUUGAUCUCCAUCGAGUCAACUUGGAGUGUGAAGUUGCCGGUUAUAGUAGUGAGAACAAUCACAUUUGCAUCCUCAUCAUACCCAACGAAAAGUGAAGAAUCCAUUCUCCUUGGAACCAUACCCUCGAGUGGAAUGGUUUUCUGCAGCAGCACCCAUUCGAAAACACCAUCGCAGUUAGAUUUCCUCUCCCAUAAUUUGAUAGUCAGGUCCAACAAAAUAGCAAGACCUAGUCCAUCAUUCUCCAUCCGUAAGAGCUGAAAAUACCAGUCGUCGGUACCAUGGUUUUCUACCGGCUUUUCGAUCAGACCAAGACUUUGCAUUUCGAAAUCAAACAUAAGGACAUCACCUCCAGAAAUCAACAAGCAAAGUGCAUUCCCGACAAGGGUGCUGGGCCUUCUUAACCUAGACAUUCCAGCUGUUAUCGUCAUCGUUGAGAAAAUAUCUCCCCAAACAUCAGACGCCGAGUCGUAGACAGAACAAACUGCCGGUGUAUUGUACUCAGCGCAGACCAAAACCAAUUUAAAUGCCCAUCUUCAGCAUUGACGCACAAUACAGUGCCAUGCCAGCCACUGUAACUCCACAUUAAGGUACUGUUGAACCCUGGUGGAAAAGCCACGAUGCGCUCUUCACCGGUGAGGGGAUCCCACACGACGGUCUCGCGCUUAUGAAUGUUGAUUAAGAGAGAGAGGCCAUGGCGGCAGCCCAUGUAUGCUUCAUCGGUGUGGUAGGGUAUGCUGCUCUUGGGCAGGGAGAAGCGGGCAGCAGGGAUGCGGUCAGGUGAGUCCAUGGCAGGAAUGAAGUUUUUAGCAUACCCUCUGAAGAAACCGAGCAGAGGAGGUUUCCUGUGGUGCUCGCGGAAGCGUUUGAGGAACUGGGGGUCGGAGAGGAUGCUGCCCCAGCGCUUGCAUACGACAGACGCACGGGGGAGCGAGGAUGGCUUCGGAGGGAGGCGGACGAGGAUCUCGAUGAGGAGGUUGUCGUAGCCAAGCACCUUGGACACCGGGCCGGCCAGCGGCACAGUACGCGGCCGCCUCUUCCGGUCCACACGCGGCGAGCUGGGAAUGGGAUCGGCCCUGGUAUGAAUAGAAAUGUAAUCAAUGGACACACAUGUGCACAUCAGGGAAGUUGCAAAUUAAACAUCCAACAUACAUAUGCACAUCCAUGAUCAAUAGAAUAGCAUAGCAUACAACGAGUAAUGAUGAAUCAACUGGUUUCUCCCAUUAUCCCACACACAUAUGCACAUCCAUCGAGCAUAUACCAUACACAAAGUAAGUGCCGCACUCACACAUAUGUUACAUCCAUCCAGCAUAUAUAAUAGCAUACACAAAGUAAUGCAGAGGGAAAGGAACUGGAUUGGGAAUCUUACCCUUGGCCUUGGGGAACCUCAGC
Molecule: long non-coding RNA, 3119 nt
Filed under: Triticum aestivum (bread wheat)
Lineage: Eukaryota; Viridiplantae; Streptophyta; Magnoliopsida; Poales; Poaceae
Description: long non-coding RNA (TAES_LNC012803)
Source: RNAcentral